GCGUGGAUUUCCGAGCCCGGUCAAAGGAGCGGGAUUUAGGGUCCCGUCGCGAAGGCGUUCGCAGGUUCAACUCCUGCUCCACGCA
This 85-nucleotide transfer RNA is filed under the name Methanoregula sp. Its description in RNAcentral is "tRNA-Leu". It matches the Rfam family "tRNA". Rfam says of the family: Transfer RNA (tRNA) molecules are approximately 80 nucleotides in length. Their secondary structure includes four short double-helical elements and three loops (D, anti-codon, and T loops). Further hydrogen bonds mediate the characteristic L-shaped molecular structure. tRNAs have two regions of fundamental functional importance: the anti-codon, which is responsible for specific mRNA codon recognition, and the 3' end, to which the tRNAs corresponding amino acid is attached (by aminoacyl-tRNA synthetases). tRNAs cope with the degeneracy of the genetic code in two manners: having more than one tRNA (with a specific anti-codon) for a particular amino acid; and 'wobble' base-pairing, i.e. permitting non-standard base-pairing at the 3rd anti-codon position. The record is from RNAcentral. Lineage: Archaea; Methanobacteriati; Methanobacteriota; Methanomicrobia; Methanomicrobiales; Methanoregulaceae.